UACAGAGGGUGCAAGCGUUAAUCGGAGUGACUGGGCGUAAAGGGCGCGUAGGCGGUUAUAUUAGUCUGAUGUGAAAGGCUUGGGCUUAACCUGGGAAUUGCAUUGGAAACGGUAUAGCUAGAGUUUGAGAGAGGGAAGUGGAAUUUCCGGUGUAGCGGUGAAAUGCGUAGAGAUCGGAAAGAACACUCGUGGCGAAGGCGACUUUCUGGCUCAAAACUGACGCUGAGGCGCGAAAGCGUGGGGAGCAAACAGG
RNAcentral lists this ribosomal RNA (253 nucleotides) under uncultured bacterium. RNAcentral's name for it is "partial 16S ribosomal RNA". It matches the Rfam family "Bacterial small subunit ribosomal RNA", at positions 524 to 776 of the family's 1533-position model. The record is from RNAcentral.